Dalotia coriaria is the source of this 431-nucleotide long non-coding RNA. RefSeq lists it as uncharacterized. The transcript has 4 exons. NCBI's taxonomy places the organism in Eukaryota, Metazoa, Arthropoda, Insecta, Coleoptera, Staphylinidae. The record is from RefSeq and is a predicted model, not a curated record.
UUAGAAUGUGGACGAAUCUCACAAUGGUUACUCGAUGGCCUUCACUUUCGUUAUUUGUUGUUGGCGGAUUAAUAAUUGCUUUGAAUUUCAUCACAGAACUAAUUGCAUUUGAUUUGGUUUCCCUCUUUCAGCUACCCUUGUAUAUUAUAAUAUUAUUCGCAAUGGGCUGGAUGGGGAAAAAAUCUUAGCAUUUUCGGACCGCAUACGAUAUGAUACUUUUUAUGCAUGUCCUUGGGAUGGUGACGCGAAUACUGUGAAGAUUCUAAUGUUGAUGAACUUGAAUUGUAGUCACAAAUUACGGCUACCACUCGGCGAUUACGGAUCAUGUUCAAACGCUUUUGUGCUUUCGGUGUUUAAGUUUGCUUACUCAAUUGUAAUGGGGUAUAUCAAUUACAAAAAAUAAGGCACACUAUUCAAAGUCAGCUUUUUUU